GCGGGGUGGAGCAGCCUGGUAGCUCGUCGGGCUCAUAACCCGAAGGUCGUCGGUUCAAAUCCGGCCCCCGCA
RNAcentral lists this transfer RNA (72 nucleotides) under Escherichia coli. RNAcentral's name for it is "tRNA-Met". It matches the Rfam family "tRNA". Rfam says of the family: Transfer RNA (tRNA) molecules are approximately 80 nucleotides in length. Their secondary structure includes four short double-helical elements and three loops (D, anti-codon, and T loops). Further hydrogen bonds mediate the characteristic L-shaped molecular structure. tRNAs have two regions of fundamental functional importance: the anti-codon, which is responsible for specific mRNA codon recognition, and the 3' end, to which the tRNAs corresponding amino acid is attached (by aminoacyl-tRNA synthetases). tRNAs cope with the degeneracy of the genetic code in two manners: having more than one tRNA (with a specific anti-codon) for a particular amino acid; and 'wobble' base-pairing, i.e. permitting non-standard base-pairing at the 3rd anti-codon position. The record is from RNAcentral. Lineage: Bacteria; Pseudomonadati; Pseudomonadota; Gammaproteobacteria; Enterobacterales; Enterobacteriaceae. RNAcentral also lists the same sequence under 2 other names.